RNAcentral lists this transfer RNA (76 nucleotides) under Dongia rigui. RNAcentral's name for it is "tRNA-Glu". It matches the Rfam family "tRNA". From Rfam's summary of the family: Transfer RNA (tRNA) molecules are approximately 80 nucleotides in length. Their secondary structure includes four short double-helical elements and three loops (D, anti-codon, and T loops). Lineage: Bacteria; Pseudomonadati; Pseudomonadota; Alphaproteobacteria; Rhodospirillales; Dongiaceae. The record is from RNAcentral. RNAcentral also lists the same sequence under 2 other names.
GUCCCCAUCGUCUAGUGGCCUAGGACACCAGCCUCUCACGUUGGUAACACGGGUUCAAAUCCCGUUGGGGACGCCA